AACGUACGCUGGCGGCACGCCUAACACAUGCAAGUCGAACGAAGUAGCAAUACUUAGUGGCAGACGGGUGAGUAACAUGUAGGUAUCUGCCCUUUGGCCUGGAAUAACACGAGGAAACUUGUGCUAAUACCGGAUAAGUCUUUACGGAGAAAGCUUUAUGCACCAUUGGAUGAGCCUGCACUUGAUUAGUUUGUUGGUGGGGUAAUGGCCUACCAAGACUGUGAUCCAUAGCUGAUUUGAGAGGAUGAUCAGCCACAUUGGGACUGAGACACGGCCCAAACUCCUACGGGAGGCAGCAGUGGGGAAUCUUGCACAAUGGAGGAAACUCUGAUGCAGCGAUGCCGCGUGAGUGAAGAAGGCCCUUGGGUUGUAAAGCUCUUUCGUCGGGGAAGAAAAUGACUGUACCCGAAUAAGAAGGUCCGGCUAACUUCGUGCCAGCAGCCGCGGUAAUACGAAGGGACCUAGCGUAGUUCGGAAUUACUGGGCUUAAAGAGUUCGUAGGUGGUUGAAAAAGUUAGUGGUGAAAUCCCAGAGCUUAACUCUGGAACUGCCAUUAAAACUUUUCAGCUAGAGUAUGAUAGAGGAAAGCAGAAUUUCUAG
This 600-nucleotide ribosomal RNA is filed under the name uncultured bacterium. RNAcentral describes it as "bacterial SSU rRNA". It matches the Rfam family "Bacterial small subunit ribosomal RNA", at positions 28 to 673 of the family's 1533-position model. The record is from RNAcentral.